GCAGUAGCCGCGGGAAUACGGAGGGUGCAAGCGUUAAUCGGAAUUACUGGGCGUAAAGCGCACGCAGGCGGUCUGACAAGUCAGAUGUGAAAUCCCCGGGCUUAACCUGGGAACUGCAUUUGAAACUGUCAGGCUGGAGUCUUGUAGAGGGGGGUGGAAUUCCAGGUGUAGCGGUGAAAUGCGUAGAGAUCUGGAGGAAUACCGGUGGCGAAGGCGGCCCCCUGGACAAAGACUGACGCUCAGGUGCGAAAGCGUGGGGAGCAAACAGGAUUAGAUACCCGCGUAGUCCCUGUCUCUUAUAC
RNAcentral lists this ribosomal RNA (302 nucleotides) under uncultured bacterium. RNAcentral describes it as "partial 16S ribosomal RNA". It matches the Rfam family "Bacterial small subunit ribosomal RNA", at positions 508 to 807 of the family's 1533-position model. The record is from RNAcentral.